This 616-nucleotide long non-coding RNA is filed under the name Ananas comosus (pineapple). Its description in RNAcentral is "long non-coding RNA (ACOM_LNC029733)". The record is from RNAcentral. Lineage: Eukaryota; Viridiplantae; Streptophyta; Magnoliopsida; Poales; Bromeliaceae.
UCAAAUGAUGGAUUGGAUGAAGCAGCUCAAUGAUUUCUUCUUCUUUCCGCGGCUCGACGAUAUCUCCUCCUUUCAGCGGCUCGGCGAUAUCUCAUCCUUUCAGCGGCUCGGUGAUAUCUCCUCCUUUGAAUAUUUUGAACGUAGAAAUGUGUGUAGCAAUCUAUCUCUUUUUUGUUUUUAUCUAUCGUCUAAGUAAAAAAUUCUCCCAUGUUUGAUUUCGGUUCUCGUAUUUAUAAUGGAAGGGGUGGUGAGAGAUAUUUUGAGGGAUUCGAAAUUCGAAUUUGAAUUUUGAAUAGGUUGUUGGAUGGUUGGAGGAUUUUUGGGAAUUGGUUGGAGAUUCGAAAUUCGAAAUCGAAUUUUGAAUGAGUUGUUAGAGAAUAUUUUGGGAAUUGGUUAGGAAUUCGAAAUUCAAAAUCGAAUUUUGAAUGGGUUGUUGAGAAUAUUUUGGGAAUUGGUUGAGAAUUCGAAAUUCGAAAUUCGAAAUCGAAUUUUGAAUGGAUUGUGAUUUGAAAUCGAAUUUCGAACAGAUAUUUUAUAGGGUGUGGAUGUGGGCCGUCAUUGAUCAGGCCCGUUUUAAUUUAUUGGGCCCAAAUGAUAAUAUUUAAUAGGCUGGAAU